Molecule: RNA transcript, 3692 nt
Organism: Gorilla gorilla gorilla (western lowland gorilla)
Lineage: Eukaryota; Metazoa; Chordata; Mammalia; Primates; Hominidae
Gene: ZNF774
Gene name: zinc finger protein 774
Exons: 5
Source: RefSeq, a predicted model, not a curated record
CCCAGAAGGCUAGGCGAUAAUUGACAGCUCUAUCAGCCUAUGGACAGAGAAAAAUUCUAGCCAUGGAAACUGAGAAGCCAAUAGCAAGAGGACGGGGGCGGUACUUUCCGGCCGCUGGCUGUCGAAGCCGGAGUCCCACCUGUGUCCCCACAGCCCUGUCACGAAUCCCGGUCGGGUUCUGGGAGGCACCGCCUCGGGGUUGCGGGCCGGGUGCGGCUCGGCGGUGGAGGACUCACUUCCUGCUCCAUCCCCGGCUGGGCCCUGGGGCGGAACUGAUGACCCUUGAUAAUGUGGCUGGGGACUUCAGGGAAGAGUGGGUUACCUGGACACUGCUUAGAGAAUCCUCUUCAGGAAUGCCACCCAGCACAGUUAGAAGAAUGGGCUCUCAAAGGAAUUUCCAGGCCUAGUGUAAUCUCCCAGCUGGAGCAGAAAGAAGAGCCAUGGGUCCUACCACUCCAAAACUUUGAGGCGAGGAAGAUCCUGAGGGAAAGCCACACAGACUGUGAGCAUCAGGUGGCAAAGCUCAAUCAGGACAGUUCUGAAACAGCAGAACAAUGUGGAACAUCCUCAGAAAGGACCAAUAAAGAUCUUUCUCAUACUCUUAGUUGGGAAGGAAACUGGGAGCAAGGCCUAGAAUUAGAAGGGCAACAUGGAACCCUUCCAGGAGAGGGCCAGCUGGAGUCCUUUUCACAGGAGAGGGAUUUAAACAAGCUCCUGGAUGGAUAUGUAGGAGAGAAGCCUAUGUGUGCAGAAUGCGGGAAAAGCUUUAACCAGAGUUCCUAUCUCAUAAGACACCUAAGAACCCACACUGGCGAGAGGCCCUAUACAUGUAUUGAGUGUGGGAAAGGCUUCAAACAGAGCUCAGACCUUGUCACCCAUCGCAGAACACACACAGGAGAGAAGCCCUACCAAUGCAAGGGGUGUGAGAAAAAAUUCAGCGACAGCUCCACACUCAUCAAACAUCAGAGAACCCACACAGGGGAGAGACCCUAUGAGUGUCCAGAGUGUGGAAAGACUUUUGGGCGGAAGCCACACCUCAUAAUGCACCAAAGAACCCACACAGGCGAGAAGCCCUACGCGUGCCUGGAAUGUCACAAAAGCUUCAGUCGAAGCUCAAAUUUCAUCACUCACCAGAGGACCCACACAGGGGUGAAGCCUUACAGGUGUAAUGACUGUGGGGAGAGUUUUAGCCAGAGCUCGGAUUUGAUUAAGCACCAACGAACCCACACGGGAGAACGGCCCUUCAAAUGCCCGGAGUGCGGGAAGGGCUUCAGAGAUAGUUCUCAUUUUGUAGCUCACAUGAGCACUCAUUCAGGAGAAAGGCCUUUCAGUUGUCCUGACUGCCACAAAAGCUUCAGUCAGAGCUCGCAUUUGGUCACGCACCAAAGAACACACACAGGUGAGAGACCUUUUAAGUGCGAAGACUGUGGGAAAGGAUUCGCCGACAGCUCCGCCCUCAUUAAGCACCAACGAAUCCACACCGGAGAAAGACCCUACACAUGUGGAGAGUGUGGGAAGAGCUUCAACCAGAGCUCCCACUUUAUUACCCAUCAGCGAAUCCACUUAGGAGACAGGCCCUAUCGAUGUCCUGAGUGUGGCAAGACCUUCAAUCAGCGUUCCCAUUUCCUCACACACCAGAGAACGCAUACAGGAGAAAAACCUUUCCACUGCAGUAAAUGUAACAAGAGCUUCCGUCAGAAAGCGCAUCUUUUAUGCCAUCAAAACACGCAUUUGAUUUAGAAAGUAGUCUUUGGUGUUGUGCUGCUCCCUUGCACAUUUUCAUUGCUACUGUCUUCAAGCACCCCAAAUAGAGAAAACCUGGGCAUCAGUGGCUCAGUUUGGGCCCUGAUCUAUUCUCCCUCUUUCUUGUCUGUGUUAUAACAGAGAGGAUAAACUUAAAGGGUCCAAAUAACGGUCCGAAUACAAAAGGCAUUCCUUCAGUGUGUGACCGACUCUUAGGGAAAUGUGAGUUUAAUAGUUGAUGCCAGCCAGGCGUGGUGGCUCACCCCUGUAAUCCCAGCACUUUUGGGAGGCCAAGGCGGGUGGAUCACUUGAGGUCAGGAGUUGAGACCAGCCUGGUGAACAUGGUGAAACCUCGUCUCUACUAAAAAUGCAAAAAUUAGCUGGGCAUGGUGGCACGUGCCUGUAGUCCCAGCUACUCGGGAGGCCGAGGCAGAAGAAUCAUUUGAACUCAGAAGGUGCAGGUUGCAGUGAGUUGAGAUCAUGCCACUGCACUCCAGCCUGGGCAACAGAGAGAGACUCUGUCUCCAAAAAAAUUAAAAAGUUGAUGCCUAGUUACUAAAUGAGAAGUGAGAAAAAUGUGGCCUAGAGAUCAUAUGUUCACCACCUAGUACAGUGCCUGGCACAACAUAGAUGCUCAAUAACUAAAUGGUCCCAUCAUUAUUAAUGAUUAAUAUUUGAGGUCUUAUAUAAAGGCUUUAAUGCAGUACCUGGCCCUUAAAAGACACUCAAUACAAGAUUGGUGGCUUUUAUCAGUCUCAUUACUCAAUUAGAAAUUUAUUAGUGUAGUCCCCCCACCCCAAACUCAGAACGUGAAAGAAAUUAGAUUGGAACUAGAAGGUUUGGGGUUGGAAUACACAAAUUGAAUAAAAUGGAAAUGCACUCCCAGUUCAGUGCUGUGCAGGCAUUAGUCACCAGAGGUCUCACUGCCAUGACAAGGCCAAAUUAUCGUAGAGGAUGUUUGCGGUCUUGUGACUUGGAGGCUGAAAGAAUUUCAGAAGCUCUUUGAAAUGGCAGUGUAUGGCAGUGUAUCUACCGGAGGUUUGCUGUCAUCUGACACAGAGAAAAUAUCCUACAAUGAACAAGCCAGAGGGACCUGGUAGAGGACUAUAAAAUUGUGGAAGCAAAAUUGCUGAGAAUGUCAAAUGAUAUUACAGGGGUCCUCCCUGGCAUUUAGCUGAAGGAAGCGACUCUUGUUUUCUAAUUUGCUGGGUCAUUGGCCAUUUAGUUUUAGGUUAAUAUAAUUCUCUGAUCCUUUUAGGGCCAUCCAGGUUAUGCACUAGUACAGUCCUACAUUCAAUUGAAAUAAAUUGAGGGAUGGCAGUGUGUUGGAAAGAACACCGACUUCAUUGAGAAGUAAAUCUUGCUGCUGCUCACUCUGGGUCCGCACUACCUUUAUGAGCUGUAACACUCAAUGCGAGGGUCUGCGACUGCAUUCCUGAAGUCAGCAAGACCACGAACCCACCGGGAGGAACAAACAACUCCAGAUGAGCCACCUUUAAGAGCUGUCUCACUGCAAAGCUCUGCGUCUUCACUCCUGAAGUCAGCGAGACCACGAACCCAAUGGAAGGAAGAAACUCCGGACACAUCUGAACAUCUGAAGGAAGAAACUCCGGACACACCAUCUUUAAGAGCUGUAACGCUCACCGUGAAGGUCCGUGGUUUCAUUCUUGAAGUCAGCGAGACCAAGCACCCACCAAAAGGAAUAAAUUCCAGACACAGUAUUUACAGCCCAGUGUCCACCCAUUCCCCAUGUAGCAACCCCUGGUACCUGAGGAAAAAGAUCACAGCCUCUGCCAAUGGUGGGGCAUCUUUCCGAAGAGGUUCCACUUGGACUUUUUGAAACAUCAUGUGGCUGUGCUGUUUGAGAAGCCUGGGGUGAAGUUAACUAUACAAGAAUCAGGGCAUGAUCACACACGCACACACCUUUGCAAUUUUUCUGGCUUUGUUUA